AUACGUAGGGGGCGAGCGUUGUCCGGAUUGAUUGGGCGUAAAGGGCGCGUAGGCGGCUGUGCAAGUCAGUAGUGGAAGUCCAUUUUUCAAGGAUGGAAGUGCUACAGAACCUGCGGAGCUUGAGUGCAGGAGAGGUUAUCGGAAUUCCCGGUGUAGCGGUGAAAGGCGUUGAGAGCAGUAGGAACACUAGUGGCGAAGGCGGGUCACUGGACUGCAGCUGACGCUGAGGCACAAAAGUGUGGGCAGCAAAAAGGAGUAGAUCCCCUAGUACUCCACGCUGUAAACGAUGAAUACUAGGUGUAGGUGGCAUCGACUCCCUCUGUGCCGCAGUUAACACAAUAAGUAUUCCGCCUGGGGAGUACGGCCGCAAGGUUGAAACUCAAAGGAAUUGGCGGGG
Molecule: ribosomal RNA, 397 nt
Filed under: uncultured bacterium
Lineage: Bacteria
Description: partial 16S ribosomal RNA
Rfam family: Bacterial small subunit ribosomal RNA
Source: RNAcentral